This is a long non-coding RNA of Felis catus (domestic cat), 3077 nucleotides long. RefSeq lists it as uncharacterized. The record is from RefSeq and is a predicted model, not a curated record. The transcript is spliced from 2 exons. Lineage: Eukaryota; Metazoa; Chordata; Mammalia; Carnivora; Felidae.
GGCGAUGUCCUGGCCGGGCCCGUGGGGAGAGAAGCGGGUGUGGGCCAGGCAGGCAUGGGCCCCCCCAGAACUGGUUUCUUCCGGGGUCCCCCCCAGCGGUCAGGAACGAUGCUGACCGCGGCCAGGCACUGGGUGAAGCGCUUUAUGUGAGGCCCUGCGUGUCGCUCACAGCACGAGCAGAGAGGGCAGACACCCCAAGGCAGAGGCAAGGAGAUCACCCCUGAGAGACUGCCGGGGGCUCUGAGCCACUCGUCCAAAGUCAGGGCCGUGGAUGGGAGCUAAGCUUACUAAUAAUAAAGCCAGAUCGGAUUAAACGGGAGGGCCAGGCAGUGUCAGCCUCUCAUCGUGGUCCUGGCAGUUUAGGAAGGGACAGGAUCGUAGGUGAAGGUCUCGGCAUUUGGGUCCUCCCUCCAGUCCCAGCGGGCCCUGUGUGGCCCUUGGAGUGCGGCUCGGAUGUGCCAACCCUGUCCCGGCGUGCUCUCUACUCUCAGCCGUGAAGCCACGGCUCUGUGCCCACGUUCAUUCAAGAGCUGGCGGAUGACCUGGGGGUCGCCCGAGGACACACAGUGCUUUGGGACAGACCGCGUGGAUGCCCACCUGGAGGCCGACCGGGGAGGCUGCGCUUUCUUCCAGGGAGGGUUUGCCCGUGUGGCUUUCUCCCAGCCCCGCCGCCCAACGGAGUCCCAUCCUUCUCUCCCGGGGCCCCGCCUCCCGGAGGAGCUUCGCCCCUCCCACCGGAGGCCCCGCCCCGCCCGCCACCUGCCGCAGGCGCUGCUCCUCCUUGGUGUGGUCGGGCUGCCUCCGCAAACUCGCCAGCUCCAGCUUCAGGCUCUCCAGCCUCUGCUCCCGCCGUCGCACCAGGUGGAUCAGUACGUUGUGCACGUUCACGCGGUCGAAGACGUACUUUCGCAGCUUCUCCCGCGCCACCUGGGUCGGGGAGGGCACGGCCCGCGCGUGGGUGCGCAAGGGGCCGCGGGGACCGCGCACAGCGGGGCUGGCGGGGCGGGACCCCUGGGAUUGGGAACUCACUCUGCCCGCCACCGGCCCCGCAACGUGGUUUAGUGGUGGUGGUCGGGGUGGGGGGGGGCGGUGCGCUGGCCGGGCGAGGCCGAGGGAUCCCUCCUGCCACUUUACCUCCAUGGAGCAGCGGCAGUGCGCCAACCUCAUGGACAUGUCCUUCCCGCAGGCCUUGGAGAUGGUCUGCUGGUCAUACUGCAGAGCGGUGGUGGCUGAGCUGGGACCCCGGUCUCCCUGUGUACCCCCAGCCACCAGUCCCUCCCUCCAGGCAUUCUCCCCGGGCCUCUCUAGCCUGUGCUAGCCCAGCAGCGAGGGCCCAUCCAGGCUAUCCCAGCUCAGAAGUGAUGGGAGUCAGGAGAAGAGGACCCAGGUCUCCCCUACAUGGCCAGAGAGCCAGAGGGGCCCCUGCUGUAGGGGGAGCCCAGAAAAAGCUCCCCAUCAGGCCCACCCUGCCAUCUGGGGUGGGCGGUGGGGAACCUGCCCAUCGGGCUUGCUGGAGUGACAGGUCCUGGGGAGCCCCUCCCCAAGAUGCCCCCUGGCUCCUGAGAGGUAAGAGCGGAAAAAGGGGGAGGUCCUUGUUGUCCCCUUGUGUGUGGGCCUGUUUCAGCAUGUGCCCAUCCCCAGCCCGUGGUCAGCAGGGAGGGGGAGCAGGGCUGCUCACCUUCUUGGCCAGAGCCCAGUCCUGGGCCCCACGGCGGAUGGUGCUGUGCAGGAGAGCCAGCGUGGCUCUGUUCUUGACCGUCUUCUCCUUUACGGCCUGGAUCUGCAGUGCCCGGCAUUGCUCUGGUGGGGGGAGGGGGGGCACGGAGAUGCUCCUUCCUGCCCCCACUCGAGGGCCACAGGCUUCACUGCCCAGCAGUGCUUAUCUGGAUGGCUCUUAGUGAUGGCUGUGCUGUGCAGUGGGGGACGUGAGGUGGCAGCCAGAGGUGGGCGCGUCCUGUGAUCCCUUCCAGACCCAAUGGCCAGAGAACGUCCUCUCUGGCUUUGGGGCUCACUGUGCUCACAAAUCUCCGUGAAGCCCCCUGCAUGGCAGACCCUUUUGAUCCCUCCUCUCAGGUCUGUUGGGGGGGGGGUGGCCGCUAGCCCUUGUUUGCCCUGGACUGGCCCUGUGUUAGAUCUGAAAGCCCCUGGGCCCUGCAUGGGGCCAGGCAGGCUGGUCCGGGGGUGGUGGUGGGGGGACAGAGGGCUCACCCUGGAGCCGAGUGAUUGUCUUCAGCUCCUGGAUCUGCCCCUCCACAUCUGCCUCGCUGCAUGCCUUCAUGGUGGCCGUCAGGGUCCUCCAGGCCCCCGUGCAGCUCCCGCCCUCCCUGUCCUGGGCCUGUUCAACAGAGCCGCAAGCAGUUCACGUCCCCGGAAUCUCAGCCCAUUGUGAUGGGGGCCGAGAUUCUCAACCACGGGGCCCUGGAGAUCCCGGCCCUCCCUGCCCCCUUUCUGUGCCCCCCGCCAGCCUUGGGGUUGCCCCCUGCAUGCUCGGGUCAGCUGCUGUCUGCUCAGGAGCACUGCUGGGGUCAAGGCACUUUCCAUAAGGAAGUGAUUUGUGGUGAUUUGACACAGCACCCCGCGCCAGCCCCCUGUACCCUCCCCAUCCCCUCCAUACCCCAAGGCUGUCCUCCGCUGAGCCUCCUAAAACCUCUAAUCUCUGCCUUAUGGGAUCUCCAUUUCUUCACCCCACCCCAAGCUCAGAUUCCACACCCGGGGCGACCUGGCUCAUGAGACCUCAGCUGUCAGCCCGGACGACUUCACCCCGCCCUGACCUCCACCUGCUGCCUGGAGCCCGCCCUGCUCCACCUCCACGUUCCUGGGGCAAUUCCCGGGUCUAGUUUCGAUGCCGCUUACCCCAGGCGGGGUCGUGUGCAGCCCAAGCUUCCCGUGGGGUUAAGCACUCCGAACACCUGCCAGCCUGGGACCCUGAGGGAGGCACACCAGAUGGGUUGCUUUUUCCAGCGGCGCCGCAUGGAUUUGCAGGGGCCGCCACAGCCAAGUGGCAGGUGGCUGAAACAAUGGCAAUUGCUCGUCUCACAUCCUAGAGGCCAGGUGUUAGCAGAGCUGGCUCCUCCUCA